RNAcentral lists this ribosomal RNA (443 nucleotides) under uncultured bacterium. RNAcentral describes it as "partial 16S ribosomal RNA". It matches the Rfam family "Bacterial small subunit ribosomal RNA", at positions 338 to 795 of the family's 1533-position model. The record is from RNAcentral.
CCUACGGGAGGCAGCAGUGGGGAAUAUUGGGCAAUGGAGGAAACUCUGAACCAGCAACGCCGCGUGAAGGAUGAAGGUCUUCGGAUUGUAAAGUUCUUUUCUAAGGGAAGAAGAAAGUGACGGUACCUUAGGAAUAAGCCUCGGCUAACUACGUGCCAGCAGCCGCGGUAAUACGUAGGAGGCAAGCGUUAUCCGGAAUGACUGGGCGUAAAGGGUGCGUAGGGGGUUCAGCAAGUUAGUAGCGUAAUUCCGGGGCUCAACUUCGGCACUACUACUAAAACUGUUGGACUUGAGUGCAGGAGGGGCAACUGGAAUUUCUAGUGUAGCGGUGGAAUGCGUAGAUAUUAGGAAGAACACCGGUGGCGAAGGCGAGUUGCUGGACUGUAACUGACACUGAGGCACGAAAGCGUGGGGAGCAAACAGGAUUAGAUACCCCGGUAGUC